This 302-nucleotide ribosomal RNA is filed under the name Vibrio cholerae. RNAcentral's name for it is "bacterial LSU rRNA". It matches the Rfam family "Bacterial large subunit ribosomal RNA", at positions 1973 to 2274 of the family's 2925-position model. The record is from RNAcentral. Lineage: Bacteria; Pseudomonadati; Pseudomonadota; Gammaproteobacteria; Vibrionales; Vibrionaceae.
CGGGUAAGUUCCGACCUGCACGAAUGGCGUAAUGAUGGCCACGCUGUCUCCACCCGAGACUCAGUGAAAUUGAACUCGCUGUGAAGAUGCAGUGUACCCGCGGCAAGACGGAAAGACCCCGUGAACCUUUACUAUAGCUUGACACUGAACAUUGAGCCUUGAUGUGUAGGAUAGGUGGGAGGCUUUGAAGCGUGGACGCCAGUCUGCGUGGAGCCAACCUUGAAAUACCACCCUUUAAUGUUUGAUGUUCUAACGUAGCCCCGUAAUCCGGGGUGCGGACAGUGUCUGGUGGGUAGUUUGAC